Molecule: ribosomal RNA, 422 nt
Filed under: uncultured prokaryote
Description: bacterial SSU rRNA
Rfam family: Bacterial small subunit ribosomal RNA
Source: RNAcentral
UGAGGAAUAUUGGUCAAUGGGCGCAAGCCUGAACCAGCCAUCCCGCGUGCAGGAAGACGGCCCUAUGGGUUGUAAACUGCUUUUCCAGGCGGAGAAUUUUUCUGUCGUGACAGGAAUUGACGGUACCCUGGGAAUAAGCAUCGGCUAACUCCGUGCCAGCAGCCGCGGUAAUACGGAGGAUGCGAACGUUAUCCGGAUUUAUUGGGUUUAAAGGGUGCGUAGGCGGAUAGAUAAGUCAGUGGUGAAAACCUGCAGCUUAACUGUAGACUUGCCGUUGAUACUGUCAGUCUUGAGUAUGGUCAAGGUAGGCGGAAUGUGUAAUGUAGCGGUGAAAUGCUUAGAUAUUACACAGAACACCGAUUGCGAAGGCAGCUUACUAAGAUACAACUGACGCUGAGGCACGAAAGCGUGGGGAUCGAACA